GCACAGUAAGAGCUUGCUCUUAUGGUNGGCGAGUGGCGGACGGGUGAGGAAUACAUCGGAAUCUACUCUGUCUUGGGGGAUAACGUAGGGAAACUUACGCUAAUACCGCAUACGACCUACGGGUGAAAGCAGGGGAUCUUCGGACCUUGCGCGAUUGAAUGAGCCGAUGUCGGAUUAGCUAGUUGCCGGGGUAAAGGCCCACCAAGGCGACGAUCCGUAGCUGGUCUGAGAGGAUGAUCAGCCACACUGGAACUGAGGCACGGUCCAGACUCCUACGGGAGGCAGCAGUGGGGAAUAUUGGACAAUGGGCGCAAGCCUGAUCCAGCCAUACCGCGUGGNUGAAGAAGGCCUUCGGGUUGUAAAGCCCUUUUGUUGGGAAAGAAAUCCAGCCGGCUAAUACCUGGUUGGGAUGACGGUACCCAAAGAAUAAGCACCGGCUAACUUCGUGCCAGCAGCCGCGGUAAUACGAAGGGUGCAAGCGUUACUCGGAAUUACUGGGCGUAAAGCGUGCGUAGGUGGUCGUUUAAG
This 528-nucleotide ribosomal RNA is filed under the name uncultured Pseudomonadota bacterium. Its description in RNAcentral is "bacterial SSU rRNA". It matches the Rfam family "Bacterial small subunit ribosomal RNA", at positions 69 to 587 of the family's 1533-position model. The record is from RNAcentral. Lineage: Bacteria; Pseudomonadati; Pseudomonadota.